ACGCAAGUUGCGCCCGAAGCCGUCAGGCCGAGGGCACGCCUGCCUGGGCGUCG
RNAcentral lists this ribosomal RNA (53 nucleotides) under Cydonia oblonga (quince). RNAcentral's name for it is "partial 5.8S ribosomal RNA". The record is from RNAcentral. Lineage: Eukaryota; Viridiplantae; Streptophyta; Magnoliopsida; Rosales; Rosaceae.